AAAGGCAGCAGUAGAGAUCUUGUGCAAUCAAACGAAAGUAUGACACAGAGAGGACACAUUUAAUUAAGCCCGUCAAAUUAAGUGCCAGCCGACGCGGUUAAACUUAAGGGCUGGUCUUUAUAAGUAAAAAGGCGUAAAGGAUGUGUAGGCCAAGAAAUAAUCAAAGUAGGUAAAUGGAAUUUUUCUGGAGCGGUAGAAUGUGAGGAUAGAAAAUAGAACCCCUAAGGUAAAAACUAUUUACCACAAGGUAGGCUGAAACAUGAGAGUGUGGGAAGCAAACAGGAUUAGAGACCCUGGUAGUCCACACUGUAAACUUUGAAGAUGAUGCUUAGCAGACCCGAAAGGUAAAAUCUUCCGCCUGAGUAGUACGAUCGCAAGAUUAAAAUUCAAAAACUUUGGCUGUUCACUAUUUCGAUUAGAGGAGCGUGUAGUUUAAUUCGAUGGUCCGCGUGUUACCUUACCCCAACUUGAAUCUGUGACCGGUAUUGCAUGGCCGUCGUAAGUUCGUGUAUUAAGCUAGAAGGGACCCAACCCGGGCAUUUGCCCGGAGGAAGUCAGGUCUUAUGAUCCGAAUGUUGGGGGACUUUAUGCGCUACAUUUUCUUAUAUAAUGGGAAACCUGAAAGGUGAGCCUCUAAAGUAAGAGUUCGGAAGGUCGCUGUAAGACGACUGGAAGUUGGAUUUAAUAGUAAUCGGAAAGUAGGGCGUUCCGGUGAAUUGGUACAAGUGUUAGCACAAAUUGCCCGUCACCUUUACCUAGAAUGGUUAUUCGGACGUCUUCGGUGAUUACGAAUGCCUACGAGGUAAAGCAAGUCGUAACAUAGUA
Molecule: ribosomal RNA, 825 nt
Filed under: Heteractis magnifica (magnificent sea anemone)
Lineage: Eukaryota; Metazoa; Cnidaria; Anthozoa; Actiniaria; Stichodactylidae
Description: partial 12S ribosomal RNA
Rfam family: Bacterial small subunit ribosomal RNA
Source: RNAcentral